GUGAAUCAUCGAAUCUUUGAACGCAAAUUGCACUCUCCGGUUUUCCGGGGGAGUAUGCCUGUCUGAGGGUCAGCCUAAAAAAAAUCGACAUUGUUGCUGUUAUUUAAUGGUGACUUUCGUCGGAGAUUGGGUUAUCUUAAACCUUUUUUUUUUUUUGUUUUAAGCGACUUAAAAUUUUUUUUCGUAUUCAUUUAACUUUUCCAAG
This 205-nucleotide unclassified non-coding RNA is filed under the name Glomus sp. RNAcentral's name for it is "partial contains 5.8S ribosomal RNA and internal transcribed spacer 2". The stretch from base 1 to 72 matches the Rfam family "5.8S ribosomal RNA", at positions 84 to 154 of the family's 154-position model. Lineage: Eukaryota; Fungi; Glomeromycota; Glomeromycetes; Glomerales; Glomeraceae. The record is from RNAcentral.